CGACAGGGAAGGCUCACAUAGAGGCAGCAGUAGAGAAUCUUGUGCAAUGCACGAAAGUAUGACACAGAGAGGACACGUUUAAUUGAGCCUGUCAAAUUAAGUGCCAGCCGACGCGGUUAGACUUAAGGGCUGGUCUUUAUAAGUAAAAAGGCGUAAAGGAUGUGUAGGCCAAGAAAUUAUCCAAGAAGGUAAAUGGAAUUUUUCUGGAGCGGUAGAAUGUGAAGAUAGAAAAUAGAACACCUAAGGUUAAAACUAUUUACCACAAAAUAGGCUGAAACAUGAAAGUGUGGGGAGCAAACAGGAUUAGAGACCCUGGUAGUCCACACUGUGAACUUUGAAGAUGAUGCUUAGCAGACCCGAAAGGUAAAAUCUUCCGCCUGAGUAGUACGAUCGCAAGAUUAAAAUUCAAAAACUUUGGCUGUUCACUAUUUCGAUUAGAGGAGCGUGUAGUUUAAUUCGAUGGUCCGCGUGUUACCUUACCCCAGCUUGAAUCUAUGACCGGUAUUGCAUGGCCGUCGUAAGUCCGUGUGUUAAGCUAGAAGGGACCCAAUCCGGGCGUUUGCCCGAAGGAAGUCAGGUCUUAUGAUCCGAAUGUUGGGGGAUUUUAUGCGCUACAUUUUCUUAUAUAAUGAGAGACUUGAAAGGUAAGCCUCUAAAGUAAGAGUUCGGAAGGUCGCUGUAAAACGACUGGAAGUUGGAUUUAAUAGUAAUCGGAAAGUAGGGCGUUCCGGUGAAUUGGUACAAGUGUUAGCACAAAUUGCCCGUCACCUUUACCUAGGAUGGUUAUUCGGACGCCUUCGGUGGUUACGAAUGCCUACGAAGGUAAAGCAAGUCUAACUGG
Molecule: ribosomal RNA, 841 nt
Filed under: Acricoactis brachyacontis
Lineage: Eukaryota; Metazoa; Cnidaria; Anthozoa; Actiniaria; Acricoactinidae
Description: partial 12S ribosomal RNA
Rfam family: Bacterial small subunit ribosomal RNA
Source: RNAcentral